GCCAGGCGCGGUGGUGCACGCCUAUAAUCCCAGCUGCUUGGGAGACUGAGGCAGGAGGAUCAAGAGUUCAAAGUCAGCCUCAGCAAAAGAGAGGUGCUAAGCAACUCCGUGAGACCCUGUCUCUA
RNAcentral lists this small RNA (125 nucleotides) under Marmota monax (woodchuck). The record is from RNAcentral. Lineage: Eukaryota; Metazoa; Chordata; Mammalia; Rodentia; Sciuridae.